Molecule: ribosomal RNA, 403 nt
Filed under: uncultured prokaryote
Description: bacterial SSU rRNA
Rfam family: Bacterial small subunit ribosomal RNA
Source: RNAcentral
UGAGGAAUAUUCCGCAAUGCGCGAAAGCUUGACGGAGCUAUACCACGUGACUGAAGAAGGCUUUGCUGUAAAAGUCUUUUCUUAGAGAAGAAAAAAAUGACGUUAUCUAAGGAAUAAGUAUCGGCUAACUCUGUGCCAGCAGCCGCGGUAAUACAGAGGAUGCAAGCGUUAUUCGGUUUUACUGGGCGUAAAGAGUCUGUAGGUGGUUUUAAAAGUCUUUUGUUAAAAAUUAAAGCUCAACUUUAAUAAAGCAUUUGAUACUUUAAAGCUAGAGAUCAAUAGAGGCAGAAAGAAUUCCCGGUGGAGCGGUGAAAUGUGUAGAUCUCGGGAAGACUAACAAAGGCGAAGGCAUUCUGCUGGGUUGUAUUCUGACACUGAGAGACGAAAGCUAGGGGAGCGAAUA